UAAUACAGAGGGGGCAAGCGUUAUUCGGAAUUAUUGGGCGUAAAGGGCGCGUAGGCGGCUUCGCAAGUGGUUGGUGAAAUCCCUCGGCUUAACUGAGGAACUGCCCUCCAAACUGCGUUGCUUGAGUCCGGGAGAGGUGAGUGGAAUUCCCAGUGUAGCGGUGAAAUGCGUAGAUAUUGGGAGGAACACCAGUGGCGAAGGCGGCUCACUGGACCGGAACUGACGCUGAGGCGCGAAAGCGUGGGGAGCAAACG
This 254-nucleotide ribosomal RNA is filed under the name uncultured prokaryote. RNAcentral's name for it is "partial 16S ribosomal RNA". It matches the Rfam family "Bacterial small subunit ribosomal RNA", at positions 521 to 774 of the family's 1533-position model. The record is from RNAcentral.